ACAAAGACGCGCGCCGCUUUAUAAUAUUUCUUAAAUAUAAGGGUACUUUGCGAGUAAUUUGCACUCUUACAAGCGACAAAAAAUGUUAUUCGAAAAGCGCCCUAAUCAUUCUACUGCUGCAGUGACCACAGCAUAGUUUUUAUUGUAACCAGAGCGAAACGAGAUCAAAUAAUAAUGUAUUCAGGUUUAACCCUUGCCGGUACUGAAAUGAGGUAGCUUGGACACAGAUGGAUUUUUAAUGUAGUCAUUYAAGUGAUUUAAUCUUACCAUCUUUCCAAUCGUCCAUCGCCCGCGCUUUGUAGAGUUCUUCUGAAUUCUCGUCUUUGUCGUCGUCGUUUUCUUCAAGCUCUUCGUUAGACUUUUGUGCGGCUGCCCUGAAAAACGUGGGAAGGCGACGAGGCAACAGCGACAGAUCAGCCACUACACGUUCUGGAACAUUGCAUUGCCAAGACGCAAGGAGAGAUCGCAAAAAACGAGCGUAACAAAAAACACAACACAAGCGCUGUAUUUCAGAUAAAACAACAUGGCGGACCUCCCUCGAGAAAGAGAKAAGUAAAACCAAAUUUACCAGGAGCUCAGGCAAGAAACAGAGUUUUGGGUUAAAAUAAUCAUCAAUAAAGACGGACUCGAUAUGAGUUAAUUGGUUGUCAAUGAUGAAUG
Molecule: long non-coding RNA, 660 nt
Organism: Exaiptasia diaphana
Lineage: Eukaryota; Metazoa; Cnidaria; Anthozoa; Actiniaria; Aiptasiidae
Exons: 3
Source: RefSeq, a predicted model, not a curated record